Gregarina niphandrodes is the source of this 73-nucleotide transfer RNA. It matches the Rfam family "tRNA". Rfam says of the family: Transfer RNA (tRNA) molecules are approximately 80 nucleotides in length. Their secondary structure includes four short double-helical elements and three loops (D, anti-codon, and T loops). Lineage: Eukaryota; Apicomplexa; Conoidasida; Eugregarinorida; Gregarinidae. The record is from Rfam.
GGGCGUCUAGCUCAAAAGGUAGAACGCUCGCUUAGCGCGCGAGAGGUAUUGGGAUCGAUACCCACGUCGUCCG